RNAcentral lists this long non-coding RNA (1160 nucleotides) under Callithrix jacchus (white-tufted-ear marmoset). RNAcentral describes it as "lncRNA (ENSCJAG00000073043.1)". Lineage: Eukaryota; Metazoa; Chordata; Mammalia; Primates; Cebidae. The record is from RNAcentral.
GGGGCAGAGUCUGACUCUGCGGCGCUGGGCGUGCAAGUCCAGCGACUCCUCCCCGGAGCCUCACCGGCGCCGGACUCUGCCCUGGGCGUUCCCCGCGGGGCGGAGUCAAACCUGUGGGCGGUGGCGGCUGCGCUCGCAGGGCCCUGGCAGCCGGCCCUGGCCCCAAGGCCUGAUCGCCCAGGGGAGGAGCAGCACUGGGACCCCGCGCCUGCUAGGCGCCCCCAAAGCCUUACAGUGAUGAUUUUACACCAAGUAUCUCCUGAGAGUUAUUCACCAUCUACAGAAAUUCAUCUUUAUUGUUCUCACUUUCAUAUACUCCAGGGAUCAGGAUCAGGAUGGAGACAUUCAUCAUGCUAUGUUGGUUCAUAAAGAGGAAGAAAGCUUGAUCAGUAUUGAGCUGUAAAUGCUUGCUAUUUAUUUUGAUGAGGUCACUUAUAUUGUUGUGAUGUGAUACAGAAACUUUGUUUUAUCCAAAAUGAGAAGCUGCCUCUGACACUUCUAUCUUUCUAUUAACACCUGGAUUUUGGUAGGAUGCUGCUCUUGGAUAAGUCAAACAUCUUCAUGGUGUGGGAGGGUGGGCAAAGGUGGUGAUGAAAAGUAGGGUCAUGACAGAGCGUGGUGGGUGGCUCACGCCCAUAAUCCCAGUACUUUGGGAGGCUGAGGUGGGUGGAUCACCUGAGGUCAGGAGUUUGAUACCAGCAUGGGCAACACGGUGAAACCAUGUCUCUACGAAAAAUACAAAAAUUAGCUGGGUGUGGUGACAUGUACCUGUAGUUCCAGCUACUUGGGAGGCUGAAAUAGGAGAUUGCUUGAACCUUAAACCUGGGAGGCGGAGGUUGCAGUAAGCCGAGAUUGCACCACUCCACUCCAGAUUGAGUGACAGAGGGAGACUCUGUCUCAAAAAAACAAAAUAAAGAAAGAAAAUUAUGGUCCUGGCUGUUUCAGGCCCUGCAUAAGUAGACAUUUUCAUCAUUGAUCCAACAGUGUAUGUGCAGAUGGACAAAUAUGAAGAAUGAAAACAUUGUGCAUCUAGAAAGCUAUUAGAAAAGCAAUGAGUAGAUGAGAGGAAAGUUCUAGGUUCAUGAAUUAUAGUUAAAGCUUGUUGCAAAUAUUCUAUUUCUUAGGUAUUAAUAUAUAUUUCCUUCUACUUUAUCACCUUU